This 497-nucleotide ribosomal RNA is filed under the name uncultured bacterium. Its description in RNAcentral is "partial 16S ribosomal RNA". It matches the Rfam family "Bacterial small subunit ribosomal RNA", at positions 28 to 507 of the family's 1533-position model. The record is from RNAcentral.
GAUGAACGCUGGCGGCGUGCCUAAUACAUGCAAGUCGAGCGAACGGACGAGAAGCUUGCUUCUCUGAUGUUAGCGGCGGACGGGUGAGUAACACGUGGAUAACCUGCCUAUAAGACUGGGAUAACUUCGGGAAACCGUAGCUAAUACCGGAUAAUAUUUUGAACCGCAUGGUUCAAAAGUGAAAGACGGUCUUGCUGUCACUUAUAGAUGGAUCCGCGCUGCAUUAGCUAGUUGGUAAGGUAACGGCUUACCAAGGCAACGAUGCAUAGCCGACCUGAGAGGGUGAUCGGCCACACUGGAACUGAGACACGGUCCAGACUCCUACGGGAGGCAGCAGUAGGGAAUCUUCCGCAAUGGGCGAAAGCCUGACGGAGCAACGCCGCGUGAGUGAUGAAGGUCUUCGGAUCGUAAAACUCUGUUAUUAGGGAAGAACAUAUGUGUAAGUAACUGUGCACAUCUUGACGGUACCUAAUCAGAAAGCCACGGCCAACUACGUG